GAUGAACGCCGGCGGCGUGCUUAACACAUGCAAGUCGAACGGAAAGGCCCAAGCUUGCUUGGGUACUCGAGUGGCGAACGGGUGAGUAACACGUGGGUGAUCUGCCCUGCACUUCGGGAUAAGCCUGGGAAACUGGGUCUAAUACCGGAUAGGACCACUUCUUGGAUGUUGUGGUGGAAAGUUUUUUCGGUGUGGGAUGAGCUCGCGGCCUAUCAGCUUGUUGGGGGGGUAAUGGCCUACCAAGGCGUCGACGGGUAGCCGGCCUGAGAGGGUGUACGGCCACAUUGGGACUGAGAUACGGCCCAGACUCCUACGGGAGGCAGCAGUGGGGAAUAUUGCACAAUGGGCGCAAGCCUGAUGCAGCGACGCCGCGUGGGGGAUGACGGCCUUCGGGUUGUAAACUCCUUUCGCUAGGGACGAAGCGUUUUGUGACGGUACCUGGAGAAGAAGCACCGGCUAACUACGUG
Molecule: ribosomal RNA, 467 nt
Filed under: uncultured bacterium
Lineage: Bacteria
Description: partial 16S ribosomal RNA
Rfam family: Bacterial small subunit ribosomal RNA
Source: RNAcentral